This is a non-coding RNA of Schistosoma mansoni, 45 nucleotides long. NCBI's taxonomy places the organism in Eukaryota, Metazoa, Platyhelminthes, Trematoda, Strigeidida, Schistosomatidae. The record is from Rfam.
AUCCAGCUGAAGAAUCCCGAAUAGGACGAAACGCGCGUCCUGAAU